UACGAAGGGUGCAAGCGUUACUCGGAAUUACUGGGCGUAAAGCGUGCGUAGGUGGUUCGUUAAGUCCGAUGUGAAAGCCCUGGGCUCAACCUGGGAAUGGCAUGGGAUACUGGCGGGCUAGAGUGCGGUAGAGGGUGGCGGAAUUCCCGGUGUAGCAGUGAAAUGCGUAGAUAUCGGGAGGAACAUCUGUGGCGAAGGCGGCCACCUGGACCAGCACUGACACUGAGGCACGAAAGCGUGGGGAGCAAACAGG
RNAcentral lists this ribosomal RNA (253 nucleotides) under uncultured bacterium. Its description in RNAcentral is "partial 16S ribosomal RNA". It matches the Rfam family "Bacterial small subunit ribosomal RNA", at positions 524 to 776 of the family's 1533-position model. The record is from RNAcentral.